Long non-coding RNA from Haliotis rufescens (red abalone), 396 nucleotides. RefSeq lists it as uncharacterized. The record is from RefSeq and is a predicted model, not a curated record. The transcript has 3 exons. NCBI's taxonomy places the organism in Eukaryota, Metazoa, Mollusca, Gastropoda, Lepetellida, Haliotidae.
UGUCAGCAACAACUAGUGCAACAACUUCUCCUACUACAUCAGCCACUACAUCAGUAACCACAUCGCCUACCACGUCGGCAACCACAUCGGCAACAACGUCUCCCACAACCUCGCCCACCACUUCACCUACCACAUCAGCCACAACUUCGCCAACAACCUCGGUGACUACUUCAGCGACCACGUCUGCAACUACAUCGCCAACCACGUCGCCUACCACGUCAGCAACAACUAGUGCAACAACUUCUCCUACUACAUCAGCCACUACAUCAGUAACCACAUCGCCUACCACGUCGGCAACCACAUCGGCAACAACGUCUCCCACAACCUCGCCCACCACUUCACCUACCACAUCAGCCACAACUUCGCCAACAACAUCGGUGACUACUUCAGCGACCA